UCUCAAUGGAGAUGUACACCAGGUCCGCUUUCUCCCAGCUCUCAGUUACUGUGACCGUUGACAUCUUCGCCAUCCCUAGAAGUAGUUCCUGUUCCAUUGGGUCUUCUACAAGAGUCUCAUGAUGUCCUCAAAUGCUGAGCUCAGAUUCCAUUAUGAAAAAGAGCACUCUACACGUACGUUCCAAUAAACAUCAUCUUUCACUGAAGAAUAAAGUCAUACAGGUUUGGAACGACAUGAGGGAAUCGGUCCACAGCGAUGGCCAGCAGGGAGUGAACGGAGGCCUGGGUCAACACAAUGACCACACAGCUAAUGAAGAGGCAGCAGUGGAAACUAGUCUUCAAACGUCC
Long non-coding RNA from Megalobrama amblycephala (Wuchang bream), 347 nucleotides. RefSeq lists it as uncharacterized. NCBI's taxonomy places the organism in Eukaryota, Metazoa, Chordata, Actinopteri, Cypriniformes, Xenocyprididae. The transcript is spliced from 3 exons. The record is from RefSeq and is a predicted model, not a curated record.